Molecule: RNase P RNA, 411 nt
Filed under: Sedimenticola thiotaurini
Lineage: Bacteria; Pseudomonadati; Pseudomonadota; Gammaproteobacteria; Chromatiales; Sedimenticolaceae
Description: RNase P RNA component class A
Rfam family: Bacterial RNase P class A
About the family: Ribonuclease P (RNase P) is a ubiquitous endoribonuclease, found in archaea, bacteria and eukarya as well as chloroplasts and mitochondria.
Source: RNAcentral
GGAGUCGGCCGGAUGAUCGCUGCCACGGUUCCACCAUGGCGGAGGAAAGUCCGGGCUCCACAGGACAGGAUGCCAGGUAACGCCUGGGGGGCGCGAGCCCACGGAAAGUGCCACAGAAAACAGACCGCCCGACCACUCUGCCGGCGGUUCAUCCGGUGGUCUCAUCCACCGGUCGAAGCCGGCGAGUGGUCGGGUAAGGGUGAAAAGGUGCGGUAAGAGCGCACCGCGUCGCUGGUAACAGCGGCGGCAGGGUAAACCCCAUCCGGAGCAAGACCAAAUAGGGGGACGCUGGCGCGAGCCUGAGGUGUGGUCCGCACUGUCCCCGGGUAGGUCGCUCGAGGCGUCCGGCGACGGGCGUCCCAGAUGAAUGAUCAUCCCCGACAGAACCCGGCUUACAGGCCGGCUCCCACU